Molecule: ribosomal RNA, 305 nt
Filed under: uncultured bacterium
Lineage: Bacteria
Description: partial 16S ribosomal RNA
Rfam family: Bacterial small subunit ribosomal RNA
Source: RNAcentral
ACAGCAGCCUCCGCGGUAAUACGGAGGGUGCAAGCGUUAAUCGGAAUUACUGGGCGUAAAGCGCACGCAGGCGGUCUGACAAGUCAGAUGUGAAAUCCCCGGGCUUAACCUGGGAACUGCAUUUGAAACUGUCAGGCUGGAGUCUUGUAGAGGGGGGUAGAAUUCCAGGCGUAGCGGUGAAAUGCGUAGAGAUCUGGAGGAAUACCGGUGGCGAAGGCGGCCCCCUGGACAAAGACUGACGCUCAGGUGCGAAAGCGUGGGGAGCAAACAGGAUUAGAUACCCGCGUAGUCCCUGUCUCUUAUAC